UUGCUGUAGCAGCACAUAUACUAAAAUUGGAACGAUAUAGAGAAGAUAAGCAUGGCUAAUCUGCUAGGAGGACAUGCAAAUUUGUGAAGCAGACUUGACAUAUCUUU
Small nuclear RNA from Erinaceus europaeus (western European hedgehog), 107 nucleotides. NCBI's taxonomy places the organism in Eukaryota, Metazoa, Chordata, Mammalia, Eulipotyphla, Erinaceidae. The record is from Ensembl.